UGGGGAAUAUUGCACAAUGGGCGCAAGCCUGAUGCAGCCAUGCCGCGUGUGUGAAGAAGGCCUUCGGGUUGUAAAGCACUUUCAGCGGGGAGGAAGGCGAUAAGGUUAAUAACCUUGGCAAUUGACGUUACCGACAGAAGAAGCACCGGCUAACUCCGUGCCAGCAGCCGCGGUAAUACGGAGGGUGCAAGCGUUAAUCGGAAUUACUGGGCGUAAAGCGCACGCAGGCGGUUGAUUGAGUCAGAUGUGAAAUCCCCGGGCUUAACCCGGGAAUUGCAUCUGAUACUGGUCAGCUAGAGUCUUGUAGAGGGGGGUAGAAUUCCAUGUGUAGCGGUGAAAUGCGUAGAGAUGUGGAGGAAUACCGGUGGCGAAGGCGGCCCCCUGGACAAAGACUGACGCUCAGGUGCGAAAGCGUGGGGAGCAAACAGG
RNAcentral lists this ribosomal RNA (429 nucleotides) under Chloroflexota bacterium. Its description in RNAcentral is "Chloroflexi bacterium partial 16S ribosomal RNA". It matches the Rfam family "Bacterial small subunit ribosomal RNA", at positions 355 to 776 of the family's 1533-position model. The record is from RNAcentral. Lineage: Bacteria; Bacillati; Chloroflexota.